RNAcentral lists this ribosomal RNA (481 nucleotides) under uncultured bacterium. RNAcentral's name for it is "partial 16S ribosomal RNA". It matches the Rfam family "Bacterial small subunit ribosomal RNA", at positions 28 to 523 of the family's 1533-position model. The record is from RNAcentral.
GACGAACGCUGGCGGCGUGCUUAACACAUGCAAGUCGAGCGGAAAGGCCACUUCGGUGGUACUCGAGCGGCGAACGGGUGAGUAACACGUGAGCAAUCUGCCCCUGGCUUUGGGAUAGCCACCGGAAACGGUGAUUAAUACCGGAUACGACCACUUCUCGCAUGGGAUGGUGGUGGAAAGUUUUUUCGGCCAGGGAUGUGCUCGCGGCCUAUCAGCUUGAUGGUGAGGUAAUGGCUCACCAUGGCUUCGACGGGUAGCCGGCCUGAGAGGGUGACCGGUCACACUGGGACUGAGACACGGCCCAGACUCCUACGGGAGGCAGCAGUGGGGAAUAUUGGACAAUGGGCGGAAGCCUGAUCCAGCAACGCCGCGUGAGGGAUGACGGCCUUCAGGUUGUAAGCCUCUUUCAGCAGGGACGAAGCGCAAGUGACGGUACCUGCAGAAGAAGCACCGGCCAACUACGUGCCAGCCGCCGCGGUAA